UACAAGAGAUUUUAGCGGAGUUUAGUAAACGCGAUUAGGAUAAUCCGGUACAGAUAGAUGGAGGAGUAGUUGGUGUUUGUUUGCUUCUUCUAGAGAUGAGUGAGUCAGUGAGAGCAGAUGCCGUUGGACAGUUAUUGUCUAAGGAGUAUGGUGUCCGGUCUUUUUUCACAUAAUACUAUAAUUUCAGAUUAUAUAAUUUUCACAAAUAUCAAUUUCUACUUUUUAAGGAGUACAUGCCAAGUUGCCAAUUUGAUUUUAGUGUUUGGGUAUUAGCGGAACAGCUUAUUAACGAUUAAAUAAUUAGUUAUAUUUUCUUAGUGAUACAAAAGCAAAUACUUAAAAAUAAACAUGAGAAAAAACCUAAAAUUAACUCUAAGUUUAAAUUUAAUUUUAAAGUUUAGCUUAUGUUGGUAAUGUAAAGGCUAAACGGUGGGGCUGAACAGGGUUUUAGAAGUAAAGAAUUAAAGGUUUUCUUUCCCCGAAAAAGAUAAAGGGGUUUUAAAAUUCGGUUCUUGAUUGAGUUUAGAUUUCUUGGAAUAUAAAAGAUAUAUGCAGGACAAUGUGAAGAGGACUUUGACGUUUGAAACCUCGCACGGACGACUUGUGGAGCUCAAAUGCGACGGCGACAAGCGGCAAAGAAAAAAAAAACACACCAGCUUGGAAAGUUGGUUUGGAUCAGCAACCUGGGGAAGAAGAGGAUGAUAGAAACUGAAGCUUCGGUUCAGACUUGACCUGUCAGGAUCAACUAACUAGAAGGAAAUUGCAUGUUCAGUUCAGACUUCAGGGUUUACUCUUUCAAUGAGAAGACUUGAGAACUGAAGAGUUUAUUACUGUAUUUUCUUUUUUUUUCGUUUCUGUGGGGUUUAAGCCUUCAUAGUUCAGACCAGUCCAGAACUUCAAAUUUCAUCAGGUUCAGUAGCAAAUCCGCAGAGAAAAAAAGAGGAGAGAAUGUAUUCAUCUUAUGUUUGUACGAGUAGUAGUAUAGAUCAAGGAUGAGUUUAUUCAUAAUAUUUUUUGUGUUUUGGAAUCUACCAUAAAUCGUAAGCACGUGCAUGGAAUCCAUGGAAUGUUUCUUUUUUA
Non-coding RNA from Oryza sativa Japonica Group (Japanese rice), 1080 nucleotides. Lineage: Eukaryota; Viridiplantae; Streptophyta; Magnoliopsida; Poales; Poaceae. The record is from RefSeq and is a predicted model, not a curated record.